RNAcentral lists this ribosomal RNA (516 nucleotides) under Streptococcus iniae. RNAcentral's name for it is "bacterial SSU rRNA". It matches the Rfam family "Bacterial small subunit ribosomal RNA", at positions 975 to 1493 of the family's 1533-position model. Lineage: Bacteria; Bacillati; Bacillota; Bacilli; Lactobacillales; Streptococcaceae. The record is from RNAcentral.
CAAGUUCUGACAUCCUCUGAAAACCCUGAGAUAGGGCUUCUCCUUCGGGAGCAGAUGACAAGUGGUGCAUGGUUGUCGUCAGCUCGUGUCGUGAGGAGUUGGGUUAAGUCCCGCAACGAGCGCAACCCUUGAUCUUAGUUGCCAUCAUUAAGUUGGGCACUCUAAGGUGACUGCCGGUGACAAACCGGAGGAAGGUGGGGAUGACGUCAAAUCAUCAUGCCCCUUAUGACCUGGGCUACACACGUGCUACAAUGGACGGUACAAAGAGCUGCAAGACCGCGAGGUGGAGCUAAUCUCAUAAAACCGUUCUCAGUUCGGAUUGUAGGCUGCAACUCGCCUACAUGAAGCUGGAAUCGCUAGUAAUCGCGGAUCAGCAUGCCGCGGUGAAUACGUUCCCGGGCCUUGUACACACCGCCCGUCACACCACGAGAGUUUGUAACACCCGAAGUCGGUGGGGUAACCUUUUUGGAGCCAGCCGCCUAAGGUGGGACAGAUGAUUGGGGUGAAGUCGUAACA